This is a long non-coding RNA of Chelonia mydas (Green sea turtle), 12982 nucleotides long. RefSeq lists it as uncharacterized. NCBI's taxonomy places the organism in Eukaryota, Metazoa, Chordata, Testudines, Cheloniidae. The record is from RefSeq and is a predicted model, not a curated record. The transcript is spliced from 2 exons.
GGGCUCUGCCUCUGGGUUCGGCCUCGGAUCGGCCAGUCCAGCAAAAAGCGGAACCCUCUUGCGUGGUGAGAGGGCAGCACGGUCUCCCUUCUACCCGCCCGUCCUCUCCCGAGCGUAGCCGUUGCACGCCCAGCUCCCAGUAUAAUGGAGCCUCAGUCAAGAGUAUGAGUUACCAUCAGGGCUUAAAUUCUCAAAGAUUAUUUCCCAGAGCCCCGGCAUCUCCCGUAGGGCUGAAGCCCCAAGCCCCAGCGGGCGCUGUGAAGGACCUUGUGAUUAAACAGCUUGAAUCUGAGACUGUGAAAGGAGAGCUAAUGGACAAUUCAAAGUGAGGUGAGAUGACUGGGGCAACAGGCAAGGAAGAUGAUCUUAAUAACUAUGUUUCAUAAGGACUAGGUGGGAGCAAGGUGGGCCAGAGAGGAGGUGAUUGCAGUAGACAGAAUGUGAGAUGAUAAGGGCCUGGACAAGUGUUUUAGCUAUCCGGAGAGAAAAAGGUGUCCUGGCUUGGAACUGUUAUGGAGGAAGCAUCAGCGGAUUUGGAGGUAGGCUGGAUCCGUGGACCAAAAGGGAGGAAGUAGUCAAAAAUAAUUUCCAGGUUACUGCCCUGUUUGAGAGGAAGGAUGAUGGCACUGUCAGCGGUGCCAGAAAAAUAUACAUUUCAUCAAAAAGAUUUCUCAAAUUUGGAUGGAGGGAAAUAUCUAGUGCAUUAAGCCCAUCUGAAUAUUUAUAGCAUGCUGACAUGCUUCUGCCGACAAUUAAUCAAAUGCAGUUUGGCACGUGCAGGUGAUCUUAACUUUUAAAUUGUGGGAAAAGAAGAGCAGGUAAUAUUUAAGGUGAAAUAAAGGAUACAAUUUUCAAUACUGCAAUUGAAACUAAUUCUGAUUUUGAUUCAUUUCCAGUGUUAUCACUAUCCUUUAAUCAUCAGCAUGAAGAGAAAAAAAUAAUCUCUACUUCAUUGAGAUGUAUUUGCAACCCCAUUACAUUGAAGACGACCCCGUGUUUUUCAAGGGAAACUGAUGCAGCGACAAAUCCCUUAAAGUCCAGAUUGUAGGUCCAUUAAGCAGGAAUUCCACACAUACAAAAAUCAAUUUUCUACCAUCACCAUGAGUAUUCCACAUCUCUCCCCAAAGCAGCAUUACCUGCCCAACCCGCCACAGAUGUCAGUAUUCAAUUAUAUGUAAAUUACAACCUGCUCCAACUCAUACUGAAGUUAGUGUCAAAACUCUAAUUGACAGCAGCAUAAUGGUAAGGAUCAUGUCUUCUUAUACAUCUGUAAAGAGCCCUCUAAACAGGAAUAUUGCUACCAUUCAAUAGGCAUAAUUUGACUCCAUAGGUGAAGCAAUAAAACUUAUACAUGAAACCUAAGCCCCACUGUCAACCAUGAAAAUUUUUAGUUAUUUGUCAGUGUUUAGCAGGUUUGCUCUACAAGAAAACAUACCUUGCCUCUAAAUAAUUUAAUCUAGUGACUACCUUGAAGACAUUGCUAGUUAAGAGGCACAUCACACCUGUAAAAACUGCCUUGAUAUCUAAAUUGCAGCUGUCUGCUGAGAGUCUGUCAUCAAUGUAAAAAAAAAAAAAAAAAAAAAACCCACGCACACACAGAUCUAGCAGCCUUAUUAUCAUUUCCCUGAUACUUUGUCUAAUGACUGCAUUUUUAUUUUUGCUGCUAGCCAAGCUAUCAUACAUGGAAACUAAGAUUUUAGUUGCCCUUGUUCUUCACUCAAAUUUCAUUUUUGUAAUUGGUUUCUUUUCUUUCCUUCCAAUUCCCCCGCACCCUCACACACCCCAGUUCAGAGCAAAUUGCCUAAUUUCACUGCUUUCUGCCUGUUCAUUAUUUAGCAAUGAUUAAAUUGGAGAUGUUAUACAAACCAAAAUGGAAGCUCACAGUGAAUAUCAACUCCUUUCCCACCAUUCUUCCCCCACCCCCAAGAGCCCUAAAGGAAAUCUAAUCUAACAGACAUUAAUGUAAAUCAUGCAUGUUGAAUCAUAUUUAAUUGAAAAACCACUUAUGGGGAAGAUUAAACACCUGUCUUCAUUUCCCUUUCCUGUCUGAAAUCCAUACUUUUCAGCAUAUUGCAGAGCGGAUACAGUUGUAUUACAUUAAGACAGUGAAUAUAAACUUCAACUUUGAAAACUGAACUUUAUAUUAACACACUGCUGCUCAGACAAUUUAGUGAAUGUUACAAUCCCAGGGCAAGAUCUUUCUACUAGUUUAUAGCCUUUAAAAACACAUUCCAAGCUGGGUUGGCAAUGGUAGAGCUAUUGCUCUGAAUCAUAGAAUAUCAGGGUUGGAAGGGACCUCUGGAGGUCAUCUAGUCCAACCUGCUGCUCAGAGCAGUACCAGUCCUUAACUAAAUCAUCCCAGCCAGGGCUUCGUCAAGCCUGACCUUAAAAACCUCUAAGGAAGGAGAUUCCACCACCUCCUAGGUUUUGAAUGGUCUUUGAUUCUCAAUCAUUGCUAGGUACUAACAUAUAAUAAAGCAUCCUGCCCUGAAGAGCUUACAGUCCAAAUAGCUGUAUGUUCAUUCAAUUUGAGAACAUUAACAAAACUGUCUUCAUUGCCUUGGCAGACCGGAAGGGCAGUUCUCUUGGGGGACAGAGACUGUUUCACCUCUUCUGUUAAUACCCCACCAAAGUAUUCAGGAGUUUUAAAUGGAGACCUACCUUUGUUUCUCCAUGAAAAGUGACCAUGGCUGAGGUCCAUAAUAUUGGGAGAAAAAUGAGCAAUGAAUGAUACUGAGGACCUCUUCAAAACAGAAGACUACCACCGUUGGUCAGUUUUUUAAUAUCAAAUUAUUCUUUCCCUUCCAUAUUUGAAUAUUGGCUGGUUACAGUAUAGGCCGAAUUAAGGGUUCUUUGCUCUUAGGGAAGAGCUAUUAAAGGCAGCUUGCAGCAGAAUAAAAUUGGGCUUUUGCCCUUUUGACUUUUUUUUUUUUUUUUUUGGUAAAUCAUAGUUUUCUAGCAUAGACAGAACUAGAAUUACUAAGGUAAAAGCUAGAAGGGGAAAAAAAAACACUAGAAAAUUGGAAUAAUAAUGCUCACCUCCUUUGUGAUCUACUGCUGAACAGCACUGUAUAAAAGCUAGGUAUUAUUUAAGGAUAUUUUAACAGAAAAAAAGCAAAAAUGCACAAGCCCAUUUUUCCCUUUAGAGAUCACCUUUAAGAGAAAAGUUGUAUACUUUACUACUAGAUAAACUGCAGCUAGUGAGAAAUCUCUUCCUAGCUGAUGGUUAUGCAUCGGCUUGUGACCACGAGCAGGAGUUUCUCUAGUUUGUUUUCAUAAUGUGGAACCCAUUUCUCCACCGUUCCUACUUUGUUACAUUAUGGCAACUACAAGUCUCACUGUAAAAAUCAGUAUUAGCAGUUUUAGUAUAUUUUACUUGUCCAAACAGAAUAUUGCAUACCUCUGGAGACUAGUUACUUAAGUCUAGAUUUUUAAAGGUAUUCAGGCAUUGCUCUACUCAGUGUUGCAAGGCCUAAGUAAGUAUUACAUGUCCAAGUCCCAUUUUAAAAAAGGACUUAGUCCCCUAGGUGUCACUGGAACAGUGCAAGUGAUUUAAAUGGCUAAGUCCUAUGUCCCAAUGACAGGCACCUCUGUGUACAUCUAUACUGAAAAAAAUCUUGUAGCAAUGACUCUCAGAACCCCAGGCCAACUGACGCAGGCCUACACUAUAGGGCUAAAAAUAGCAGUAUAGACAUUCUUGCUUGGGCUGGAGCCUGGGCUCUAAGACUUUUCUCCCUCACUGGGUUUCAGAACCCUGUCUCAAGCCCAAGGAGGAACAUCUAGGCUGCUACUUUUAGCCUUGCAGUAUGAGCCUGAGUCAGUAGAGCUGGGCUCUGAGACUUGCUGCUGUUUUGUUUAGUGUUUUUUGCAACAUAGAUGUACCCCAAGUCGCUUUUGAAAAUGAGACUUGGACAUGUUACUUGGGCCUUGCAACACUGAGCAGAGCAAUACUUAAAAACCUUUAAAAAUCAGGCCUGGUCUACACUUAAAACCUAAGUAUACAUAGCUACAGCACUUGGGUAUGAAAGCCUCACACUCUUGAGCACCACAGGUAUGCUGACCUAACCCCCAGGGUAGAUGAAGCUGCGUUGAUAGAAGACUGCUUCCAGCAACCUAGCUACUGUCACUUAGGGAGGUGGAGUUACUACAGCAUUAGAAAAAACUUUCAUCACUGUAGUGCGCAUCUACAUAAUGUGUUUCAUGGCAUAGCUACACACCAUUGUGUGCUGCUAUAGCGCUCAGAGUGCACACGUCCUUAAUCUCCCUCAUACUUCUGUUGCCUGCUCUUAGGUAGAUUUUUAUAUUGUACUGUGUGAUAUCUGAACACGGUUGGACCUGCUACUGCUUCCCUGCCACUUGCGUGCUUCCUUGGACAUAUUACCCAGUCAGCUGGUCAACAGCUCCCAUCUUACUGGUUCAGAGUAAAUCUUGAUUUCCCUCUGUAGCAGCCAGUACAGAGUGAGGCUUCACCUUUUUUCUUUAUCUCUGGGCUGCCUGUAGAAUCAGUUACAAACAGACAGAGCCAGCAUCCUGCAACCAGUCAUCUCUCCAGACACCACACUUUGGGAAAUGUUAGUAGUUACCUGAAUUUAACAGUAGCAGUAAAAUCACAACAUUUUAUUCCGAGUGGAGGAUCAAUGACACGUUCCAACUUACUGAGUGAGGAGAUGCAUAACAAGUUACAUUUGAGGACAUACCCCAGCCACUUAAGCAGCUCCUCCACCAGUGCUACAAAACUCUUCUCCCCACCGGCUGACCUAGUGGGAGAUCCCUGUUCAGCAACACUCCGUCCCAUCUCAACUACAUUCAGGUUGCAGAGGAGUUCUGAAGCUCACUAACCCUUUUGUACUGUGGCAGGCCAGGGCCAUGAAGGGGAGGCUGAGUGGGGGCAAAAUGAAAGCUCUUUCUUCGCAUAUGCACAGAGAGAUUUGAGUGAUCAUUAAAAAGUUGCAUAACGAGUCUGUGCAGUGACUUUAAAGCUUUUCACAGAGUAGUUACAGUGGCUGUGAAAACUACAACAGAGAAGAACAUCUUGACUUGUGAGUGAAGACUGCACUAGAACACUGAACUAAAAGGUUAUUUUUGCAUUUAGCAAAUCUUCUGAUGAAGAUGCUUUCUAGCUUCGACCAUACUUAUGGCAAAGAUGUGUAGAAUGGUAGAGGACACAAGAAAAGUUGAAUUUUUAUUUAUUAGGCAGACAAUACAAAGAGAUUCACUUAGAUUUCUGACUCUGUGCUUGUGCCUUCAACACUUUCACAACGAUCUUCUGCUCCUCAAUAAGGAAAGCUCGUUUGAUUCUAGGGAAGAGAAAAAGCCUUCAUUAGCUCUUUUAUAUAUAAACUGUGCUUUGAUAUUACACACAUUUCUCCAAGCCCAGCUAUUAAGCACAAAAUGAUACCUAAAACCCAAUUUUUAACUUUUCUACUUGCACUCUUCACCACUGCCAGCACUCCUGAAAUAAGACAUGCAUACCAUCUGAAUUUAAAAAUGCUUUUGGCCUCACAUAGUAUUUUCUUGGCAAAGUGGGCAGAAAAAACACUCAGAAAACUGCAAAGGCCUAGGUAUUUCAGGAUUAAAACAGUUCUCUCUUCCCCCCCGCACCCUUCAUGAACACAGCGGCCAUAGUCAUGUUUAAACAUGGUUAUUUUUGUAGGUUAGACAUGGUCAUUAUGUAGAGGAUCUCAAGCCUAAAAAGACUGAACACUUAACUCACCAGACAGCUUGCUUGAUGGUUUGCCAUACCCAAACACAAAUAUACCAUAUGAACAUUUCUAGUUACUAUUUAAUACAAAGGUAGUUAAGUGACAUGGAAGAGUAGUUUAAUAAUCUCAUUAAAAAAGCUGCUGUUAGCCUAAGCAAAUUCAAAUACUAGUGAUGGGAUUAAUCUGAUUCUCAAAUCCAUGUCUCUACAAAUACUCCUCCCAUCCUUAAUUAUACACAUAUAAGACCCACCCCAAAAAUAAAGAAUACUAGAAGUGUGCCUUGCCACAUGGCAGCAGACAUUUGUUACACUGACGCCCAGUCUGUGGCUCCUUCCUGUUGCCCAGAACCCCUGCUCCCCUCCUGCAUGAUAGUCAGGAUCUUUUCUCCCUCCACUAGCAGCACCAACUCCCUCUAGUGCCAUAUGCAGAUUUAUUUGCGUGAUACAGAGAAUCAUUUUGUAACCCAGUAGCAAAAGAACCCUAGAAUUGUCACCUUCCUAGUUAAUCAAUAUUAAAAAGAGUUUAACUGAACCCUAGAUUGCCUUUUCUGUAGAAUAAAACACAGCAGUGCUCAAGCGUCUCACAGUUAGAAACUUCCUUCCCCUCCUGGAGUUGUAUCCAAACACCCAAUUUACCUUCAAGCUGUCGUGAAUAUUAGUGCUUCACACUUAGUUCUGCACAGUUCAAAAAGGUGUUUUUUUACUAUCACUUUUUUCCAUAUCAAGCUAUCUUUAUUCUUAAAGAUACACGUUUCAUGUGAUAAAGCUGCUUUUCACAUCAUUCACACCUGUAGUAGGCUGUCUUAGUCACAAAAUAAAACUUUUAUAUAGCUGAAUUAAACACAAGUGUACGGGCUAGCAUCCUCAACAAGCUGGGGGGCGGGGGGGCAGUGGCGCAUUUAGCAUGGAAAAUUUUGAACUACGCGUUAUGUCAGUCACACACCUGAUGUCUUCCACAUAUCUGUGCAAUUCGGUUUUUAAAGUACUUAAAGGUAGAAAAAUUGCUAGCAAUGGUUAUAGUACAGAUCAGGCAGGGAAUAGUAUAUUAACCUUUUAACUUUGGAGAUCUGGACUCAAAUUGGUCUAAUACGCGCAUAGACGAAGCUCAUUGCACCAGGGACCUUUUUGUUAUCUCUGGCUAUGACAUGGCUAAUACACAUUGGCACUUUGCUAUAAAAUUAAUUAAGAUGGCCUUAGUUUAGUGUGCAGUGUAAAAUUUAUCCAUAUAGCAAAGCCAUUACAUCAACGCUGAGAUGCUCAGCGUGCAGGUAACAGGGACCAUAAUUGUCAGGACUUGGGUUCAGUGAACAGCAUGAAAAAGUUAACACUUCAACUUAUAUCUAUUCUUAGUCACUGUUCACACAAGACAGGCAGAACUAUUUAAAAUACCCGAGUUGUAAGAAUAUGUGCUAUGUAUGCAGAGUAAGGGCUUGUCUUCACUAAGGCGCUAAGUCCAUGUAAGUUACAUAGCUUCUGCCUCUCCUUCAGGUGGAUUACAGAAGUGGAUGGGAGAGCGCUCUCCCAUCAAUUUAGCAUGUCUUAACCAGACUCACUAAAUCGACUCUGCUGCAUUGAUCGCAGCAGUGCCAAUUUACCCUAGGACAGACAGUAAACUGUAGAAGAUUAACUAGUGUCAUACUUUUAUACAGGGUCAGCUUUGGCAUUAAUGCUUUCCUUAAAUAACUACACUUCUCUCUUGUAUCAAUCAGUAUUCAGAACGUAACUCAAAGUUCAGGUUUAUACAGAAAGGUCAUGAUGUUUGAUGGUAAAUUACAAUCAAGAAUCUAAAACCUUUAUAAAAAAAAAAGAUAGUAAAACAGGAACCAGCUGGAAUCCAGGGGACAAGGUUUUGUACAUAUAAAUGCAUCUAGAUUAUUACAUCACUGCUGAGUUUCAUAGUCCCAUGUUUAUCCAUUCCAAGUCAGUCAAGAGAAAUAUUCUGUUAAAAAGAAUGUUAAGCACCCAGGUCUGAAAAAUUUGGCCUAUAAGAAGAAAAAUGUGUUAUUGCUAAUAUAUGAACAGUAAUUCUUCCCCCCUCCCCCAUUUUGACCAAUAUUUAUGAUAAAGUUGCUUAGCUUUUUAAAAAUUUACCUGUCACGGACACAUUUAGCACACAUGGAACCGCCAUAGGCUCUGCUAACAUGCUUCUUUGUUUUUGACAACCUCAUAAGGACUUUAGGGCGCACAGCACGAACCUAUGUGAAGCAAAAAUUGAAAUGUCAUACCGAGUAAUUCAUAAUCAUGCAUACUUUUUGGAUAUACUAGCCAUAUUUAAAAAAAAAAAAUCAAGCAGACCAUUUAAGCGUGUCACUUCAGACUAAGCAUAAGGAUGUUGAGCAGUUUCUCUUGGGGAAAAAAAAAAGAGAACUGCUGCUGAAUGUGCAAGAUAUGCUUUUACAAGAUACAGCUGUUGGCAAUAUCUCUUUACUACAAAUAUCUUACUAAAAAGUCCUUACAUUGAUAAUUUAUUGGUCCAGGAUCUCCCCCAACCGGCAUUGUGGGAAACUGGCAGUUAAAUGUCAGUAGAUUGCUUGGGCCAAAAUACUGCAUGACAACCUGGAAGUGAAGCUGAGAACUAGACUAUAAAAAGAAAUUCUAAGACUAUCAGUUUUUAAAUAACCCAACAUGGUUUGUUAGUAACAUAACUAAGGAAAUUUGUGUUACAGUGUCUCUUCAAGUCAUUGUACAUAUUCUACACCAAACUUAAUCACACUGUAGACUACAUCAAAAUAGAUAUUACUGCAAUUGCUCUUACUGAAAAGUGACAUUUGGACAUUAUGUACUAGCUAUCUUUUAAAGACAUUUAGUGCUAGAAACAAGGAGAUGACGUAUCAUGUGGUCGAACAAGCUCUCUGGCAAUCACCAGCAAGCAGUCCAUGUACUACAAACAAAUAAGAACCUCUUUUACAAAAAUAUUAAAAUAAAGCCCCAAAUAUUCUCUUUACAAAUAUAUCAGUCUUUUAUCAAAUACAAUGGACACAGCAGCCAGUUCAAGCUAGUUCAGUUCAGUUGGUAGUAGUAUUACUUGGAAAUGGUAGAGUCAGAGAGGAUGACAAUAUGAGUUUUAGAAUAGACAUUGUCCUUUAAAAUGUCACUUUUCACACUGAACCUGCAAACCCUUUUAAGUGUUUCGGCAGGCAGGGUAGUUAGUGAUAUAUUGGAAGCAAUCCUAGCAAAGAUUAAAUCAAUUUCCUUCUUUCUGUAAAAAUAAAAUGAUACCUUUGCUACAUGAUACCUUUUUUAAAAAAUACUGCCGUUACUAUAACUCACUUUUGAUUGUACAGUCUGCACAUAGAACUACUACAGUAUCCCUUUGAUAAUUAUCUAUGUCUAGACUAGCAAGGAUUAGACUUUUAUGGCUAAAUGUCAGUAAACUGCAAUUUCAUCCCCCCAUCCGAACCAAUGAAAAAAAUAUUUCCAUUGAUAACUGAAAUUUACAGAUAAAGUAAGAAAAAUCCUGUUUAAGAACUUAGGGGUGUCAUUAAAUAAUGCUCUGACACCCCCAGAAUUUAGUGCAACUGAAAAUUUAAAUCCAUUAAAAAAAAAUCACUUAAAAUAAAUAUCAUCCAUCCAUUAUAUAUAUAUAUAUAUAUAUAUAAAUAAAAAAAGGUGAAUUCUGCUAAGUCUACCCAUGCCCAAUUUUUAUCGCAUGGGCAUUUGCUACUUAUCCCCUAAGCUAAAGGGGCUCAGAUGCUGUGGAUUAUAAGCACAAAAAUUAAGGAAAAAAAUAGCAUCACUAUCCAAUAAAUGCUUUACGUUUUCAGAGUUUUAACAACUAAUCCUCACAACAAACACAUAUCUCCAAUUAAAGACUGGAAAGCACUAGGCAAGAUUCUUAACUGAAAAAAAAAAAGAAAAGAGGGAAAAAAAAAUCACACAGCAAGUCAGCAACAGUGGGAGUUGAAGUAUUUGAUCAUGGUACCGAAAAUGACCAGUUAAAUGAGUAAAAAGAAAAGGGGUACUUUUGGCGCCUUAGAGACUAACAAAUUUAUUUGAGCAUAAGCUUUUGUGAGCUUUUUGCGGAUACAGACUAACACGGUUGCUACUCUGAAACCAGUUAUAUGAGUACAAUACGUACACCGCGAAGUCUUCCUGGACACACACCACAUGCAGACUUUGGUGCCUUGCCAACUUUCUUAGUGUAAAGGUAAACAAUCCUGUUACCUGGUGUCCGGGACCUGCGUGCAUCAGAGAAACAUGCAAUUAGUGUAAAUAACUACAUUCAAACAGAUAAAACCCUCAGAAACUCUGAUCUUACUUACAGCCUGGUCUUGUUAGAGGCUGUGUUGUAGGACAACCUACGGCGGUAUGUCAGACGCUGAACCAUUUUUUAUAUCUAAAUAAAGGAACGAGAGAAAGAGCAUUAGACUCACAAUGAUCUUUUGCCACCACGUUUAAACUUUUUUUGGGGGGGAGGCGGGGGCGGAAUUUGGACAACAAGAAGUAGAUGACAUCGUCAGUGAAUCAUAUUACUUUUAACGGCCCUGGCAACAGCAAUACACUGAAGUUUGACAUGGGCAGUAGAAUGCUUCAGGUUUCACACCUGCUAGUAAUAAAGAUAUAAUACUAAUCCCACAAACAUAACAAUAAUAAGUUCUAAGUCUUGGCAUUUUUCUCCUUUAAAUCUCAAAGCACGUUAUAAAGGAGGGGAAGUAUCCGCAUCUACAAACAAAUUAUUCUAUGUUGAGAUGUUGUGGAAUCACAGUGUAGCUAGCACCUACAUACUGAGCGCUUGAAAACCCCUAUACCUUUCAUAGCACGCAGAACUGUCUGCUCCCCGUCUCCUGCCCACUGAACGACAGUCCUGUCACCACCACUGCGCCAGGCCCAUCCCAGAAGCCCCGUGUUCGCUCUCCCGGUCGUUCUGACACAAGCUGCACGAGUCACUAGAAGGCAGCAGGGCUCCCCCAUCUCCCUGCCUGGCGCCCCCGCCGCGCGAGAAGCAGGAGAGGCGCCCCCACCAGCGGGUCUGGCCCGGCCCGGCUCCGGACCAUCCCCGUUACCCCGCGGCCUGUCGAUGGCCCCAGCGGCUCGCAAGGCCGCAGAAGGGAGUGCGGGGCAUGCGCUGCAACCAGCAGGCGCGAGCCCAACCGCGGCCCCGCCCGGGACACUCCGGUCCCGAGGCUCCAUCCGGGCCUUGACCCAAUCCCCGCUCCCCAAUACCGCCCUCCCGCGGCUCCCCACACUCCGGUACCCGCCGGGAACUCAGCCCCAGACCGCCCGAGCCCGCCAAUCCGCGGAUGGAAGCGGAUCGAACCAGCUCCCAUACAUAGGCCAAGCCAUGGAAGCCACCAUACCUGGUCUCGCCGGGACCGGAAGAGGAAGAGAAAGGGCGCGGGUCAAAGUUCAAAUAGUGACGGAGCAAGCCCGGAAGUAGUAUUCCUGUUUACUAGGUCAAGCUUCUUGAUUGCAGUCGAGCGGGGCAUGGGUAUCGCCAUGUUGUACGGAAACCUAGGGGCUACUGGCCGUGGUGUGAGUUUCUGCCUGCGGGGGCGUUGAAGAAGAUCGGGCGGGAGCCCACAGUUCGCCACCGUUGGGCCGCCUCUCGCCCUCCCUUUCCCGGCCUGGAGCGCGGCCGGGGAAGGGGUUCGGGGUGCGGGAGGGGGCUCAGGGCAGGGGUUGGGGUGCGGGCUUCGGCUGGGCAGCGUUUACCUCGGGCGGCCCCCGGCAGUGACUGGCAGGUCCAGCGCCUAGGCUCAGAGGUGGCCAGGUGACUCUGCGCUUUCCCUGGCUGCAGGUGCUGCCCCGGCAGCUCCCAUUGGCUGUGCCUCCGGGCCAAUGGGAGCGGUGGAGUCGGGGCAGGGCAUGGGGGGCCGCGUGCGGAGACCCCCUGCGCCUAAGCGCUGGACAUGCUGGCCACGUCUGGGAGCCGCAUGGAGCCAGGGCAGGUAGGGAGCCUGCCUUAGCCCUGCUGCACCGCUGGCCCGACUUUUGGCCGAUUGUAAUCUCCCAGAUUGCUUUUAAUAGUCACCAGGGGAUUGAGGCCGAUUCCGGUAGACUCUUGGCCAAUCCGGGAGGGUUGACAACCUUAAAUUGGACCCAGAACACUGGCUGCGGCCACCCUGGCUCUAACACACACAGUACUGUGUGUACCUUACAAACCCAAACCCUGCCAGAGCCAAGCACUGGGCUUAACGCACCUCCUCACCCUGGGAAUGGAGGGGAGAAGGAGUGAAUCACAGGUGGCAGAUCUUGGUUGCCUUUCCUGAUGCUCUGCUGGAAGGCUCUCUGGAUAUGCCUUAGGCUUAAAUACUAGCUUCGGUAUAGACACUACCUAGGCCCACAGGGAGGGAUUCCAAUCAAUUGGCAAGCCUGAAAGUUUGCCCUUGGUUGCUCCCUGAGUUGCCACACUGGGAUUAAUUCUCACUUUAAGGAAAAAAAAUGAUGUGGUAACUUUUUAUAUAAUUUUAAAUCAGGAAAAUAGUCUACUCAAGACUUCACAUGUUUUCUGACAACAGUGGGACCUAAGAGUUGUCUUCUUAGCAGCCUGCCUUUGCAGGACCAAUCUCUCUGUUUCUCCUCUAAUCUAGUGGAUGCCAUUGUCAUGGUUGUGGCUGCUGCAGGCAUAGUAUCUACUGCAUUGACGAUAUUUACCAUUCCAAUAAUCCUGAGAUUUUGGAAGCAGUCCUGAGGACCUGAGAAAUCUAGAAUCUUGAGUUUUAAACCAAAAGCCUGAAAAUAUGCGGAGCUAGAGGUAUAUAACACCUAUUAGCUGUUUCUUCAGAAACCUGGAAACAACCCAAGAGAUAAUUUCAGGUUUCAGAGUAACAGCCGUGUUAGUCUGUAUUCGCAAAAAGAAAAGGAGUACUUGUGGCACCUUAGAGACUAACCAAUUUAUUUGAGCAUAAGCUUUCGUGAGCUACAGCUCACUUCAUCGGAUGCAUACAACAGCGGGCAGCGGAGCGCCGCGGCUAGGAGCUGGCGGAGCUGUCAUGAGGCUUUGAAUUGAGCUGUGAACUCAAAGCCUCAUGACAGCUCAGUCAGCAGCACGGUCUCCCAGCUCCGCCAGCUCCUAGCCGCAGCGCUCCGCUGCUGUAUGCAUCCGAUGAAGUGAGCUGUAGCUCACGAAAGCUUAUGCUCAAAUAAAUUGGUUAGUCUCUAAGGUGCCACAAGUACUCCUUUUCUUUUUGCCAAGAGAUAAUGUUUUGGACAGCCAAUAAAGAAAAAGUACAGAGAGCCCUAAUCAGGCAGUUCCUUUUUAACCCCCAGUGAUUACUUCCAUUUCCUUUGUUAUUUUUUAUUUCUUUGCCGCAAUAAAAUUGUCCAAUGGAAAAUAAAAAA